Long non-coding RNA from Hibiscus syriacus, 401 nucleotides. RefSeq lists it as uncharacterized. The record is from RefSeq and is a predicted model, not a curated record. The transcript has 3 exons. Lineage: Eukaryota; Viridiplantae; Streptophyta; Magnoliopsida; Malvales; Malvaceae.
GUGGAAUCAGAGCUAUCCAAGUUGCAAGAACAACAGAUAAGUUUGAAGAACUUGGAGAAUGAGUUGUCAUUGUGGAAACUGAUUACGAAGGACAUACCUGAUGUGUCAUGUCCUGAAGAUAUACCUGUCAAGUUUGCAACAUUACAAAAGGAAGUGAUUGACAGUACAAUUAAGAUAGGAGAGGCAAAUGCGCGCUUGAAGCAAACUGAGGUAUGACUGGAUGCCACAGAACUUGCUAAACAGAAUGCUGAAGCUGAUGCUGCGUUGGCCAAAGAGAAGGCAGAAGUCUUAAAAUCAGAGGUCAAGCGGACUGAACUCAUGCUUUCUAUGGUUACUGAAGAGAUAAAUAAGUUGAGAAAUGUUAUUAAUGAUUCAAAGAGGCAUAAGAAUGAAGAAGCUGG